GGCAGUGUGAUGCAGUGGUUUGAAUUUUGGACUAAGACACCGAGAGACCAGGGUUCAAGUCCCAGCUCAGCCA
Non-coding RNA from Phrynosoma platyrhinos (Desert horned lizard), 73 nucleotides. The record is from the annotation of a GenBank genome assembly. NCBI's taxonomy places the organism in Eukaryota, Metazoa, Chordata, Lepidosauria, Squamata, Phrynosomatidae.